RNAcentral lists this small nuclear RNA (18 nucleotides) under Arabidopsis thaliana (thale cress). RNAcentral's name for it is "snRNA_10170". Lineage: Eukaryota; Viridiplantae; Streptophyta; Magnoliopsida; Brassicales; Brassicaceae. The record is from RNAcentral.
CGACCCUCAGUAGGAGCU